This 492-nucleotide ribosomal RNA is filed under the name uncultured bacterium. Its description in RNAcentral is "partial 16S ribosomal RNA". It matches the Rfam family "Bacterial small subunit ribosomal RNA", at positions 29 to 507 of the family's 1533-position model. The record is from RNAcentral.
AGUGAACGCUGGCGGUAGGCCUAACACAUGCAAGUCGAACGGCAGCACAGUAAGAGCUUGCUCUUACGGGUGGCGAGUGGCGGACGGGUGAGGAAUACAUCGGAAUCUACUUUUUCGUGGGGGAUAACGUAGGGAAACUUACGCUAAUACCGCAUACGACCUACGGGUGAAAGCAGGGGAUCUUCGGACCUUGCGCGAUUGAAUGAGCCGAUGUCGGAUUAGCUAGUUGGCGGGGUAAAGGCCCACCAAGGCGACGAUCCGUAGCUGGUCUGAGAGGAUGAUCAGCCACACUGGAGCUGAGACACGGUCCAGACUCCUACGGGAGGCAGCAGUGGGGAAUAUUGGACAAUGGGCGCAAGCCUGAUCCAGCCAUACCGCGUGGGUGAAGAAGGCCUUCGGGUUGUAAAGCCCUUUUGUUGGGAAAGAAAAGCAGCAGGUUAAUACCCCGCUGUUCUGACGGUACCCAGAGAAUAAGCACCGGCUAACUUCGUG